GAUGAACGCUGGCGGCGUGCCUAAUACAUGCAAGUCGAGCGAACGGACGAGAAGCUUGCUUCUCUGAUGUUAGCGGCGGACGGGUGAGUAACACGUGGAUAACCUACCUAUAAGACUGGGAUAACUUCGGGAAACCGGAGCUAAUACCGGAUAGUAUUUUGAACCGCAUGGUUCAAAAGUGAAAGACGGUCUUGCUGUCACUUAUAGAUGGAUCCGCGCUGCAUUAGCUAGUUGGUAAGGUAACGGCUUACCAAGGCAACGAUGCAUAGCCGACCUGAGAGGGUGAUCGGCCACACUGGAACUGAGACACGGUCCAGACUCCUACGGGAGGCAGCAGUAGGGAAUCUUCCGCAAUGGGCGAAAGCCUGACGGAGCAACGCCGCGUGAGUGAUGAAGGUCUUCGGAUCGUAAAACUCUGUUAUUAGGGAAGAACAUAUGUGUAAGUAACUGUGCACAUCUUGACGGUACCUAAUCAGAAAGCCACGGCUAACUACGUGCCAGCAGCCGCGGUAAUACGUAGGUGGCAAGCGUUAUCCGGAAUUAUUGGGCGUAAAGCGCGCGUAGGCGGUUUUUUAAGUCUGAUGUGAAAGCCCACGGCUCAACCGUGGAGGGUCAUUGGAAACUGGAAAACUUGAGUGCAGAAGAGGAAAGUGGAAUUCCAUGUGUAGCGGUGAAAUGCGCAGAGAUAUGGAGGAACACCAGUGGCGAAGGCGACUUUCUGGUCUGUAACUGACGCUGAUGUGCGAAAGCGUGGGGAUCAAACAGGAUUAGAUACCCUGGUAGUCCACGCCGUAAACGAUGAGUGCUAAGUGUUAGGGGGUUUCCGCCCCUUAGUGCUGCAGCUAACGCAUUAAGCACUCCGCCUGGGGAGUACGACCGCAAGGUUGAAACUCAAAGGAAUUGACGGGGACCCGCACAAGCGGUGGAGCAUGUGGUUUAAUUCGAAGCAACGCGAAGAACCUUACCAAAUCUUGACAUCCUUUGACAACUCUAGAGAUAGAGCCUUCCCCUUCGGGGGACAAAGUGACAGGUGGUGCAUGGUUGUCGUCAGCUCGUGUCGUGAGAUGUUGGGUUAAGUCCCGCAACGAGCGCAACCCUUAAGCUUAGUUGCCAUCAUUAAGUUGGGCACUCUAAGUUGACUGCCGGUGACAAACCGGAGGAAGGUGGGGAUGACGUCAAAUCAUCAUGCCCCUUAUGAUUUGGGCUACACACGUGCUACAAUGGACAAUACAAAGGGCAGCGAAACCGCGAGGUCAAGCAAAUCCCAUAAAGUUGUUCUCAGUUCGGAUUGUAGUCUGCAACUCGACUACAUGAAGCUGGAAUCGCUAGUAAUCGUAGAUCAGCAUGCUACGGUGAAUACGUUCCCGGGUCU
RNAcentral lists this ribosomal RNA (1372 nucleotides) under uncultured bacterium. Its description in RNAcentral is "bacterial SSU rRNA". It matches the Rfam family "Bacterial small subunit ribosomal RNA", at positions 28 to 1381 of the family's 1533-position model. The record is from RNAcentral.